RNAcentral lists this ribosomal RNA (1455 nucleotides) under uncultured organism. RNAcentral describes it as "16S ribosomal RNA". It matches the Rfam family "Bacterial small subunit ribosomal RNA". The record is from RNAcentral.
UGAACGCUAGCGGCAGGCUUAACACAUGCAAGUCGAGGGGCAUCGGGAGGGAAGCUUGCUUUCCUUGCCGGCGACCGGCGCACGGGUGAGUAACACGUAUGCAACCUGCCCUCUUCAGGGGGACAACCUUCCGAAAGGGAGGCUAAUCCCGCGUAUAUCGGUUUCGGGCAUCCGAGAUCGAGGAAAGAUUCAUCGGAAGAGGAUGGGCAUGCGGCGCAUUAGCUUGACGGCGGGGUAACGGCCCACCGUGGCGACGAUGCGUAGGGGUUCUGAGAGGAAGGUCCCCCACACUGGUACUGAGACACGGACCAGACUCCUACGGGAGGCAGCAGUGAGGAAUAUUGGUCAAUGGGAGAGAUCCUGAACCAGCCAAGCCGCGUGAGGGAAGACGGCCCUAUGGGUUGUAAACCUCUUUUGUCGGAGAACAAAACCCGGGACGUGUCCCGGACUGCGUGUAUCCGAAGAAAAAGCAUCGGCUAACUCCGUGCCAGCAGCCGCGGUAAUACGGAGGAUGCGAGCGUUAUCCGGAUUUAUUGGGUUUAAAGGGUGCGUAGGCGGUCCGUUAAGUCAGCGGUAAAAUUGCGGGGCUCAACCCCGUCGAGCCGUUGAAACUGGCAGACUUGAGUUGGCGAGAAGUACGCGGAAUGCGCGGUGUAGCGGUGAAAUGCAUAGAUAUCGCGCAGAACUCCGAUUGCGAAGGCAGCGUACCGGCGCCAGACUGACGCUGAGGCACGAAAGCGUGGGGAUCGAACAGGAUUAGAUACCCUGGUAGUCCACGCAGUAAACGAUGAAUGCUGGUUGUCCGGGUCGAAUGAGACCUGGGCGGCGAAGCGAAAGCGAUAAGCAUUCCACCUGGGGAGUACGCCGGCAACGGUGAAACUCAAAGGAAUUGACGGGGGCCCGCACAAGCGGAGGAACAUGUGGUUUAAUUCGAUGAUACGCGAGGAACCUUACCCGGGCUCAAACGGGAGUGGAAUGGACCAGAGACGGUUCAGCCUACGGGCCGCUUCCGAGGUGCUGCAUGGUUGUCGUCAGCUCGUGCCGUGAGGUGUCGGCUUAAGUGCCAUAACGAGCGCAACCCCCGCCGGCAGUUGCUAACGGGCAAUGCCGAGGACUCUGCCGGGACUGCCGCCGCAAGGCGUGAGGAAGGCGGGGAUGACGUCAAAUCAGCACGGCCCUUACGUCCGGGGCGACACACGUGUUACAAUGGGCGGUACAGCGGGAAGCCAGGCGGCGACGCCGAGCGGAACCCGAAAGCCGUUCUCAGUUCGGAUCGGAGUCUGCAACCCGACUCCGUGAAGCUGGAUUCGCUAGUAAUCGCGCAUCAGCCAUGGCGCGGUGAAUACGUUCCCGGGCCUUGUACACACCGCCCGUCAAGCCAUGGGAGCCGGGGGUGCUUGAAGUGCGUCGCCGCGAGGCGCGCCCUAGAGCAAAACCGGUGACUGGGGCUAAGUC